ACAGUGCCACAGACUGGGAACUAAGCCUCCUUUGGAAGACAUUCAAGAUCCAGACCAUAGCAAGCCAUGAGUUAUAAGGAAUCACCAAGAGAGACUAAGCUGCAGGGUGAGAAAGAGGAACCAGUAAAGGAGAAUGAGUUGAAGCAGCCAGAUACGUGUGAAUAGCAAGACUGUGAAAGCCUGGAUAUCCUGAGUGGCCUGAAAACCAGAGUCCUGAAAUUUGUAAGAAAAGGAACAAGAAGCUCAGUCUGUUCCUAACAUUAGCACCGUAGAUAAGAUGUGCCCCUCCUGCCUGGGAGUGAGAUUUCUGUGUUCCCUUCUAUUCUGCCCCUUGCCUUAUAUCUCAGAGUUCACUUUAAAAUUUUUUUUUUUAAAUCCCUCAUUAUUACAGCCUCUCCUUUAGCAGCAUGAGCACAUAUCCUCUGGAUUGCCCUUCCUGGGUCACUCAAGAAGAAGUGAGUCUCUCCAACUUAUCAUGGCAGCAUCUUCUCACUCUCUCUAUCUCCAGGUUGCAGGGGAAUUCCAAAUCCAAGGGCCCCAUGAGCCUGUGGUGGCUGAGCUGGGUGGUGAAGCAGAGCUGCCUUGCUUUCUCUCAUCUCAUCAGAGUGCUGAGAACAUGCAGAUGAGCUGGUCCCGCUCCCUGUCCUCCCAGAUUGUACACCUGUACAAGGAUGGGAGUGACCAACCUGGGGAAGUCAUGGAGGAGUACUCAGGGAGGACAAAGCUUGUGAGAGAUGCUAUCAGUAAAGGCAUUGUGGUCCUGAGAAUCUUCAACAUCUAAACCUCUGAUGAUGCUCUAGGUUCAGUUCCUCACUUCCACAUGGAUGUUACUGAGACCAAAGAAACCCAACUGGAGUGCAGGUCAGAGGGCUGUUUCCCUCAGCCACAGGUCCAAUGGAUAAACUCUCCUGGAGAUUAAAUUCCACCUGUGUCUGAGUUUCAGACCCAGGACCAAGAUGGCCUGUUCCAGAUAACCACAUUGCUUCUAUUCAGAGAUUCUGCAAAGGUGAACAUGACAUGUUCCAUCUGGAACCCGAUUCUGAAUCAGAGAAAGGAAGAGCAAGUGUCCGUAGCAGGUCAGUUUUCUCUCUUCCCUUUCUUACCUUGGAAACUUGGCAGACUGUCCUCUACCAGCUAUGCUCCACUCCUGCUUCUGCUCUCUUCCAUCACACCACAGCAGCCUUUAGACAGGACUGGAUUUGCCUCUCUUUUUUCUACUUCCUCCUUUCCUUUCCUCACCAGGC
Ictidomys tridecemlineatus (thirteen-lined ground squirrel) is the source of this 1244-nucleotide non-coding RNA. The record is from RefSeq and is a predicted model, not a curated record. Lineage: Eukaryota; Metazoa; Chordata; Mammalia; Rodentia; Sciuridae.